GACGAACGCUGGCGGCGUGCUUAACACAUGCAAGUCGAACGAGUGGCGAACGGGUGUGUAAGACGUGGGUAACAUGCCCUCUUUACGGGACAAGCCGUUGAAACAGGGUUUAACACCGAAUAAAGGAGGAGGGGCUCGCGGCAUAUCAGCUUGUUGGUGGGGUGAUGGCCUACCAAGGCGGUGACGGGUAGCCGGUCUGAGAGGGUGAACGGGCACAUUGGGACUGAGAAACGGCCCAGGCGCCGACGGGAGGGGGCAGUGGGGGAUAUUGCACAAUGGGCGAAAGGCUGAUGCAGCGACGACGCGUGGGGGAUGAGGGCUUUAGGGUUGUAAACCUCUUGCGCUAGCGAACGGGUAGGUGGAGAAGAAGCGCCGGCUAACUACGUGCCAGCAGCCGCGGUAAUUC
This 406-nucleotide ribosomal RNA is filed under the name uncultured bacterium. RNAcentral describes it as "partial 16S ribosomal RNA". It matches the Rfam family "Bacterial small subunit ribosomal RNA", at positions 28 to 526 of the family's 1533-position model. The record is from RNAcentral.